CCUGGCUCAGAUUGAACGCUGGCGGCAUGCUUUACACAUGCAAGUCGAACGGCAGCGGGUCCUUCGGGAUGCCGGCGAGUGGCGAACGGGUGAGUAAUGCAUCGGAACGUACCCAGUCGUGGGGGAUAACUACUCGAAAGAGUAGCUAAUACCGCAUACGACCUGAGGGUGAAAGCGGGGGACCGCAAGGCCUCGCGCGAUUGGAGCGGCCGAUGUCGGAUUAGCUAGUUGGUGGGGUAAAGGCUUACCAAGGCGACGAUCCGUAGCUGGUCUGAGAGGACGGCCAGCCACACUGGGACUGAGACACGGCCCAGACUCCUACGGGAGGCAGCAGUGGGGAAUUUUGGACAAUGGGCGCAAGCCUGAUCCAGCCAUGCCGCGUGCGGGAAGAAGGCCUUCGGGUUGUAAACCGCUUUUGUCAGGGAAGAAAAGCUCUGGGCUAAUACCUCGGAGUGAUGACGGUACCGAAGAAUAAGCAC
Molecule: ribosomal RNA, 479 nt
Filed under: Caldimonas manganoxidans
Lineage: Bacteria; Pseudomonadati; Pseudomonadota; Betaproteobacteria; Burkholderiales; Sphaerotilaceae
Description: bacterial SSU rRNA
Rfam family: Bacterial small subunit ribosomal RNA
Source: RNAcentral